RNAcentral lists this ribosomal RNA (253 nucleotides) under uncultured bacterium. RNAcentral's name for it is "partial 16S ribosomal RNA". It matches the Rfam family "Bacterial small subunit ribosomal RNA", at positions 524 to 776 of the family's 1533-position model. The record is from RNAcentral.
UACGUAGGGGGCUAGCGUUGUCCGGAAUCAUUGGGCGUAAAGCGCGCGUAGGCGGCCCGGUAAGUCCGCUGUAAAAGUCUAGGGCUCAACCCUGGAAAGCCGGUGGAUACUGUCGGGCUCGAGUCCGGAAGAGGCGAGUGGAAUUCCUGGUGUAGCGGUGGAAUGCGCAGAUAUCGGGAGGAACACCAAUGGCGAAGGCAGCUCGCUGGGACGUUACUGACGCUGAGACGCGAAAGCGUGGGGAGCAAACAGG